UGGUCGUAGGGUCGGUGAAACACUUCAGAAGAUUACUACAUGGGGGUUGCUGAAGGGAAAGACACUCAAGGAUGAUGCUGUCUGGGACUGGAAGAUCUGCAACUGUUCACUGGGAAGGCCACUUGAGAUUUGACUGCUGCUGUCGGAGGUCGUAUGCUGUCAGAGAGACCCGCAUGCAGGCCGCGCCGGCGGCGAUAUAUUGCUACUUGUUUCUUGUUAUUGUCUUUUCGUGGUCUUUGCUCCAGUGCAGAGGAAAGCGUCGUCCUUCACAGUUCCUGAAGUAGGAUAGCCACCUGUGGUGCUUCGACACAUUUUUGUCUGGAGUUCUUUAUGGUCUGUUAUUUGUGAUGACAGGUUUUUGGGUUUUUGUCUCGC
RNAcentral lists this long non-coding RNA (375 nucleotides) under Physcomitrium patens. RNAcentral describes it as "long non-coding RNA (PPAT_LNC007168)". Lineage: Eukaryota; Viridiplantae; Streptophyta; Bryopsida; Funariales; Funariaceae. The record is from RNAcentral.